Pundamilia nyererei is the source of this 179-nucleotide long non-coding RNA. RefSeq lists it as uncharacterized. NCBI's taxonomy places the organism in Eukaryota, Metazoa, Chordata, Actinopteri, Cichliformes, Cichlidae. The record is from RefSeq and is a predicted model, not a curated record. The transcript has 3 exons.
UCAGGGGGUUCCUGGAAGCCCCGGAGGUCCAGGGAGGGAAGGACCUCCAGGACCCAGAGGACUGCCAGGCAAAGAUGGCCCCCCAGGCACACAGGGCCCCCCAGGAACCAUCGGAACUCCAGGAGCUCCAGGAUCCCCAGGAAGUACAGGCCCUCCAGGAAAGCAGGGAGAGCUGGGCC